Silurus meridionalis is the source of this 1009-nucleotide long non-coding RNA. RefSeq lists it as uncharacterized. Lineage: Eukaryota; Metazoa; Chordata; Actinopteri; Siluriformes; Siluridae. The record is from RefSeq and is a predicted model, not a curated record. The transcript has 3 exons.
GAGACUGUGUAUAUGGCAUGGUUUUUCAAAUGGUAGAUUGGGGGUUAGCUACCCUUGGUGUAUCUGAAUCUUUAAUAAGAUAGCUUUAUAGCUGUAUAGGGAGUUUGAGAUGACAGUACUGGAAAGUCAUGAUCUGUUGAAUAUUGUAGUGUGAAACCAGUGGGUGUGAAUGUGGCAAGUGUAAUGGUGUCACACUACAUUAUCAGAGUUACAAUUGAUCAGUGGCAUUGAGGUGUGAGUUUUCUUUCUUUAUUUUGAAAUUUAUAUUGGCGAUUACAAGAAUGAUGCACGGUCACGUGGUCACAGGUAGAAUACUCUCACGGUUACGCGCAAAGGUAGAGAUGACGUCAUUUCCGUGCGCCCUCUCUCUUUUGCCGAAUGCGAUAGCGAUGAGAGGCACGGCUAGACCAGAGAUUCGCCAUUUAUUAUCUGAUGGUGUCUGUUUCAAUACAGUGAUUGGAGAAUACAGAAGCUGGAAGUAAAUCAUACGACAAUUGUACCAACGUGUAGAGUCUUUUCAUUUAAAAACAUACACAACGCAGAGCGAACCCACUACACAGGCCCACUUUAACCCCAAAAGGUUCACCCAAAAUGGUGCCUGUAAAGGAAAACACAACACACACACACACCCACACACAUGCAAAGUGCCACACACCGUAAAUUCAUAAAAUUCACACAGCAUGCAGUGUAAACCGUAGCACAGAUUCCACCAUCAAAGGACCAACACCCACAAUCCAACCAGUGCUCCCAGAUGACCCACUGGAAAGGAACAGAUACACAAAAUCAGUUGGUUAUCAUACAGUAAAAUAUCUGCAAACAAUCCCCUAUAGUCUUUUUAACAAUCAGCUAAACACAGCAUCCAUACAACAUGAUGGGUGCCUUAAAUAAAGAAAACCAAACAAACAUUAAAUCACAAAACCCAAAAAUAAAGGGUAAAGAAGGACAGCAGUGACCAAAUGCAGUUCCUAAAAAAAACAAAAUAAAAAACAUUAGAACUGCAUAAUCACAU